UCGCUUCAGCAGCGCAUCUACUAAACAAUUGGAAGAAUACAGAGAUUAGCACAGCCCCUGCACAAGGAUGACAUGCAAAUUCAUGAAGCGUUCCAUAAAAAA
Molecule: small nuclear RNA, 102 nt
Organism: Rattus norvegicus (Norway rat)
Lineage: Eukaryota; Metazoa; Chordata; Mammalia; Rodentia; Muridae
Source: Ensembl